Molecule: transfer RNA, 71 nt
Filed under: Loxodonta africana (African savanna elephant)
Lineage: Eukaryota; Metazoa; Chordata; Mammalia; Proboscidea; Elephantidae
Rfam family: tRNA
About the family: Transfer RNA (tRNA) molecules are approximately 80 nucleotides in length. Their secondary structure includes four short double-helical elements and three loops (D, anti-codon, and T loops).
Source: Rfam by way of RNAcentral
ACAGUGGUGGUUCAGUGGUGGAAUUCUUGCCUUCCAUGUAAGAGACCUGGGUUCAAUUCCCAGGCGGUGCA